CGGGGGUACCUUGUCUCAUUAUCGAGUAUUGAAGGCAGGCGCCUCCUUACUCUUUGCUAGCUUGCCUCUUUUUCGUUAUGUUCUACUAUCAUCUCUGGUUAGGGAAAUUUUUUGUGCCAUAUCACUUGAAAAAGGAAUGAAGAAUUAGUUUGCAAUUUAGAACAAAACAAAAAUAAAGAAAAAUUGACUUGACGAAAGGUCUGACAGUCUAUCGAGAUCGCCACGGUCCAUCGGGCUCA
This 239-nucleotide long non-coding RNA is filed under the name Capsicum annuum. RNAcentral's name for it is "long non-coding RNA (CANN_LNC001691)". The record is from RNAcentral. Lineage: Eukaryota; Viridiplantae; Streptophyta; Magnoliopsida; Solanales; Solanaceae.